RNAcentral lists this ribosomal RNA (254 nucleotides) under uncultured bacterium. RNAcentral describes it as "partial 16S ribosomal RNA". It matches the Rfam family "Bacterial small subunit ribosomal RNA", at positions 524 to 776 of the family's 1533-position model. The record is from RNAcentral.
UACGUAGGGUGCGAGCGUUGUCCGGAAUUAUUGGGCGUAAAGGGCUCGUAGGCGGUUUGUCGCGUCGGGAGUGAAAACCAGGUGCUUAACACCUGGCUUGCUUUCGAUACGGGCAGACUAGAGUGCGGUAGGGGAGACUGGAAUUCCUGGUGUAGCGGUGAAAUGCGCAGAUAUCAGGAGGAACACCAGCGGCGGAAGGCGGUGCUCUGGGCCGGAACUGACACUGAGGAGCGAAAGCGUGGGUAGCAAACAGG